RNAcentral lists this ribosomal RNA (871 nucleotides) under Acrophialophora rhombica. RNAcentral describes it as "Acrophialophora sp. LP-2022d partial large subunit ribosomal RNA". It matches the Rfam family "Eukaryotic large subunit ribosomal RNA", at positions 43 to 948 of the family's 3401-position model. Lineage: Eukaryota; Fungi; Ascomycota; Sordariomycetes; Sordariales; Chaetomiaceae. The record is from RNAcentral.
UCAAUAAGCGGAGGAAAAGAAACCAACAGGGAUUGCCCUAGUAACGGCGAGUGAAGCGGCAACAGCUCAAAUUUGAAAUCUGGCUUCGGCCCGAGUUGUAAUUUGCAGAGGAAGCUUUAGGCGCGGCACCUCCUGAGUCCCCUGGAACGGGGCGCCACAGAGGGUGAGAGCCCCGUAUAGUUGGAUGCCUAGCCUGUGUAAAGCUCCUUCGACGAGUCGAGUAGUUUGGGAAUGCUGCUCAAAAUGGGAGGUAAAUUUCUUCUAAAGCUAAAUACCGGCCAGAGACCGAUAGCGCACAAGUAGAGUGAUCGAAAGAUGAAAAGCACUUUGAAAAGAGGGUUAAAUAGCACGUGAAAUUGUUGAAAGGGAAGCGCUUGUGACCAGACUUGCGCCGGGCUGAUCAUCCGGUGUUCUCACCGGUGCACUCUGCCCGGCUCAGGCCAGCAUCGGUUCUCGCGGGGGGAUAAAGGCCCUGGGAACGUAGCUCCUCCGGGAGUGUUAUAGCCCGGGGCGUAAUGCCCUCGCGGGGACCGAGGUUCGCGCUCUGCAAGGAUGCUGGCGUAAUGGUCAUCAGCGACCCGUCUUGAAACACGGACCAAGGAGUCAAGGUUUUGCGCGAGUGUUUGGGUGUAAAACCCGCACGCGUAAUGAAAGUGAACGUAGGUGAGAGCUUCGGCGCAUCAUCGACCGAUCCUGAUGUUCUCGGAUGGAUUUGAGUAGGAGCGUUAAGCCUUGGACCCGAAAGAUGGUGAACUAUGCUUGGAUAGGGUGAAGCCAGAGGAAACUCUGGUGGAGGCUCGCAGCGGUUCUGACGUGCAAAUCGAUCGUCAAAUCUGAGCAUGGGGGCGAAAGACUAAUCGAACCAUCUAGU